UACGUAGGGUGCGAGCGUUGUCCGGAAUUAUUGGGCGUAAAGGGCUCGUAGGCGGUCUGUUGCGUCGGGAGUGAAAACUCAGGGCUUAACCCUGAGCCUGCUUCCGAUACGGGCAGACUAGAGGUAUGCAGGGGAGAACGGAAUUCCUGGUGUAGCGGUGAAAUGCGCAGAUAUCAGGAGGAACACCGGUGGCGAAGGCGGUUCUCUGGGCCGAUACUGACGCUGAGGAGCGAAAGCGUGGGGAGCGAACAGG
RNAcentral lists this ribosomal RNA (253 nucleotides) under uncultured bacterium. Its description in RNAcentral is "partial 16S ribosomal RNA". It matches the Rfam family "Bacterial small subunit ribosomal RNA", at positions 524 to 776 of the family's 1533-position model. The record is from RNAcentral.